AAAAACAUGUCUUUUUGAUUUUAAUUUAAAGUCUAAUCUGCCCACUGAUUUAUUAAAGGGCUGCAGUAAUUUGACUGUACAAAGGUAGCAUAAUCAUUAGCCUUUUAAUUGAAGGCUUGUAUGAAAGAUUUGAUGAAAUAUAAACUGUCUCUAAUUUAAAAUUAAAAUUUAAUUUUUUAGUUAAAAAGCUAAAAUAAUUUUAAAAGACGAGAAGACCCUAUAGAGUUUUAUAAUUAAUAAUUUUAAAUAAUUAUAUAAAAUUUUAAUAUUUAAUAUUAUUCAUUAUUUUAUUGGGGUGAUAAAAAAAUUUAAUUAACUUUUUUUCUUGUUUAUCAAAAAUAAAUGAUUAAUUGAUCCUGUUUAAAGAUUAAAAGAAAUAAUUACCUUAGGGAUAACAGCGUAAUAUUUUUUUUUAGUACAAAUAAAAAAAAAAGUUUGCGACCUCGAUGUUGGAUUAAGAUAAAAUUUAAAUGCAAAAGUUUAAAAUUUUGAUCUGUUCGAUCAUUAAAAUCUUACAUGAUCUG
RNAcentral lists this ribosomal RNA (524 nucleotides) under Euchrysops cnejus. RNAcentral's name for it is "partial 16S ribosomal RNA". The stretch from base 391 to 524 matches the Rfam family "Archaeal large subunit ribosomal RNA", at positions 2542 to 2676 of the family's 2987-position model. Lineage: Eukaryota; Metazoa; Arthropoda; Insecta; Lepidoptera; Lycaenidae. The record is from RNAcentral.